Molecule: non-coding RNA, 100 nt
Organism: Alicyclobacillus sp.
Lineage: Bacteria; Bacillati; Bacillota; Bacilli; Caryophanales; Alicyclobacillaceae
Rfam family: Bacterial small signal recognition particle RNA
About the family: The signal recognition particle (SRP) is a universally conserved ribonucleoprotein involved in the co-translational targeting of proteins to membranes. Archaeal SRP consists of a 7S RNA and homologues of the eukaryotic SRP19 and SRP54 proteins.
Source: Rfam
AACUGGGUCCCGCGCGGCGGAAACUUUCGAACCGUGUCAGGUCCUGACGGAAGCAGCACUAAGAAAGACCUUUCGGGUGACGCGGGGUCACCUGGUUUGG